AUAUCUUUCUGUACGGGAAGGAUGAGAAGCUUCGACUAAGGUUCGAUUCGAGCGCAGCGAGAAAGCGUUGCCGUAGGCAACG
This 82-nucleotide small RNA is filed under the name Salmonella enterica. RNAcentral's name for it is "partial RtT sRNA". It matches the Rfam family "RtT RNA", at positions 1 to 81 of the family's 130-position model. Rfam says of the family: This family represents a bacterial cis-regulatory element known as RtT RNA. The exact function of RtT is unknown although it is thought that it may be involved in changing the cellular response in relation to amino acid starvation. The record is from RNAcentral. Lineage: Bacteria; Pseudomonadati; Pseudomonadota; Gammaproteobacteria; Enterobacterales; Enterobacteriaceae.